AAUGGAAAAAAAGUUAUUUAAUAAGUCAUUUUCCUUAAAAAAAAUGGAGCAUGAAAAUCCAACCCAUUUUUGACUCUCAAAACCGAACCUUCCUCUCUUCCCUUUGUCAAGACAGGACACAAAUAUUAGAACAGCAACAAGAACAUAAAAUGGGUGCAUGUGCUUCUUCUCAAAGCGAAAUAAGAUCAAGAUCACCAUCAUCAUCAACGAUCAAGAUCAUCGACAAUGAUGGGAAAUUACAGGAGCUGAAGCAGCCAAUCAAAGCUGGUGAUAUUACAGCAAAGAAUCCAGACAGCUUCCUUUGUAGCUCAGAAUCUAUGUAUUUAGUCUAGCUGUCAAGGCAAGCUCUGCCCUUGGCCUUGCCAGUUUUCCGGUGUCUGAAAGUCAUGGAUACGUUAGAGUUUCACUUUUUCCGGUGGAAAAUUUAUGGCCGUGGAAGUGUAGAAACUAGAAAGAGACGUGUAAGAAGUUGCAGCCUUGCAGGCGAAAGACGCGUUUUUCCGUUAUAUAUCAUCUUUUAUACAAUUUUUGUAUUCAUUGGAUGUUAAUGUGUUCACAUUUUCUUUUCUUUUCUUUCUGUUUUUGGAAGCUAAAGAAGGAGAGCUAUUCAAAUUA
This is a long non-coding RNA of Jatropha curcas, 615 nucleotides long. RefSeq lists it as uncharacterized. Lineage: Eukaryota; Viridiplantae; Streptophyta; Magnoliopsida; Malpighiales; Euphorbiaceae. The record is from RefSeq and is a predicted model, not a curated record.